This 464-nucleotide ribosomal RNA is filed under the name uncultured soil bacterium. Its description in RNAcentral is "bacterial SSU rRNA". It matches the Rfam family "Bacterial small subunit ribosomal RNA", at positions 26 to 507 of the family's 1533-position model. The record is from RNAcentral.
AGGACGAACGCUGGCGGCGUGCUUAACACAUGCAAGUCGAGCGGUAAGGCCUUUCGGGGUACACGAGCGGCGAACGGGUGAGUAACACGUGGGUGAUCUGCCCUGCACUCUGGGAUAAGCCUGGGAAACUGGGUCUAAUACCGGAUAUGACCUGCUCUCGCAUGGGGGUGGGUGGAAAGAUUUAUCGGGUGCAGGAUGGGCCCGCGGCCUAUCAGCUUGUUGGUGGGGUAAUGGCCUACCAAGGCGACGACGGGUAGCCGACCUGAGAGGGUGACCGGCCACGACUGGGACUGAGACACGGCCCAGACUCCUACGGGAGGCAGCAGUGGGAAUAUUGCACAAUGGGCGAAAGCCUGAUGCAGCGACGCCGCGUGAGGAUGAAGGCCUUCGGGUUGUAAACCUCUUCAGCAGGACGAAGCGCAAGUGACGGUACCUGCAGAAGAAGCGAACCGGCUAACUACGUG